Non-coding RNA from Salvia hispanica, 1498 nucleotides. Lineage: Eukaryota; Viridiplantae; Streptophyta; Magnoliopsida; Lamiales; Lamiaceae. The record is from RefSeq and is a predicted model, not a curated record.
UUGUAAAUUUUUCUAAAACUCCCUUUUUAUAUAUGGUAUAGAGGUAUUGAUUAACCUUUUUAUAAUUAGCCAAUUUCAUAUCACCAGCAAACCGAGUACUCAAUUCAGAAUCCACAUUCCACAAAAUAUUUUCUGACGAAGUGUAAAUUUGAGACUUUAAAGGUAAAAGAAUCAAGAAAGCCAUACCUUGUUGAGUAAUUCGGCCCCAGCGUUGAAAUUUGCAACCCCCCUAAAUCAAAUAGAUACAGAGAAGAAGCAAAGGGCUUCGGAAACAGUGGUUCAGAGAACAUGUGGUGGGGUGACCUAAAAGCUGCCUUAGGCAGAGAAUCAACCUCGAAGACAUCGCUUGCGCCGUGGAAUUUGGUCGAAAGAGCAGCAUUUGGGGGUCACGCUUCUCAUUGUGAUGGGUACAAAGCUAGGAUUCGAUUGGGACAACAGUGAAUGUAGGCAAUGUUGCAGCAUGCUGUUUGGGAUUACGAAUGCUACUUACCUUCCAGCCCUUGGGAAUCAUAUAUCCAUCGAAUUCAAUAUCUUGGAUUGCUUUUCUAAAAGACCCGAAAAUUGGAGGGAAAAUCCUGAUGCUCUCGCGUGCCACUUGCCAUGUGUAGUUCAUCUUCUUCACAUCCUCGUACGUGAGAGCUUCGCCUGGAGAGCAUAGCAGUUUGGAUGAUGAGCCAGCAUCCUGAAGGUCAUGGCAAUGGCGAAGGAGGUGGUGUCGUGGGCUGCAAACACGAGCAACACAAUGUUAUCAGCCACCUCCGCCUCAGUAAUCUCACCUCGAAUCAGGGCAGCAACAAACUUGGACAGGAGAAUCCCUCCCCCUUCACUCUGUUCUUGCUCUUGUUGUUCCAUUUCUCUUCUCCUAUCCCUUACAAUCUCCACCAGCAUCUCCUCUAUCUCCUUCCUCACCCUUUUCGCCCUUGAGAAUUUGGACCCUGGGAAGCUAAAAGGGACCGCGAACACCCCUUCAAGAACCUUCUCGAACAUCUCCAACAUCCCGGGUUUCACCUCAAUCCCCAACAAGCAUUCUAGAACAAUAGUAAAUGUCAAAACUUUUGUUAGCCCAUAGAGACUAAUAGUUUUCUCCCCACCACUCCAAUAUCUUUCCAAGUGCAUUGUCACGGUGUUGCAAAUCCUAGGCACCAGAUUGUCAAGGCCGGACGAGCUGAGGCUGGUGGCCACGAUGCCACGUAAGCAGCGGUGCGCCUCCCCUUGUUUCUCCAUGAUCGAGUUCACUCCCAUCAACUGCACGGAGGAGGAGGGCCACGAGCUCACGACUAGCUUGAACUCGUUGGAGAGGAAGAACUUGUUGGCCUCGGCCCCACUCACCACCACAGUUGGGUGGCCCAUCAGCCUCGUCUUGAAGGUGAGGCCGUGCUUUCGGAUGCGGGCUUGAAUGAAGUCUUGGUAAAGCCUAUUUUUCUUUUGAGCUUUGUAGAAAUCUAUGGUUUCACCGACCCAAGGCCAACCCAUCUUCCCCGGAGGCAGUUUCCUCUCA